Molecule: small nucleolar RNA, 75 nt
Organism: Tetranychus urticae (two-spotted spider mite)
Lineage: Eukaryota; Metazoa; Arthropoda; Arachnida; Trombidiformes; Tetranychidae
Source: Rfam
AUAUAAUAUGAUGAAUUAUAAAUUUUGACUCAACCAUGGAGAACAAAAUUUCGAGCUUUUUAACACUGACAUUUU